AUUUGGUCAGCCAACCGUCUCACCUUCUCCCCCUGGCUUCAUGUUUGGGUCAACAGUGCCAUCUUCUGUUCCUUUAUUUGGUCAACCAACCUUCUCACCUUCUCCCUCUGACUUCAUACUUGGGUCAACAGUGCCAGCGCAACCUAAUUCCUUUCAAUUUGCUGGCCAGCAACAUCAAGUUGCUCCACAGAGCCCUUCUCCAUUUCAGGCAUCAGCUAGAACAGAAUUCAAUACGAGUGGGAGCUUCUCAUUGAGAAGUGGUGGUGGUGACAAGUUAGGGCGAAAAUAUGUGAAAGCUAAUGGAAGUAAGAACCAGAAGAAGUAAAGACGGUGAAUGGUAUAGCUGUUGUAUCCUUCAUUGAAUUUCCGCCCUUUUUUAAAGCAAAUAUUCUGUAGGCACAGUUUCAUCAAUUUUGUACCGUGUUAAAAAUUGCAAUGUACGAGGAGGCGACACUGGGUAACGGGAUUGUGUUAUUGAUGGCGCUUGUGUAUUUCUAUGUAACAUGAAGGAAUUGUUCAUAAAUCUUUCCAAGGAAGCAUGUUAAGUUCCAUUUCACUAUCUUAGCUGUUGUCUUCAUCAGCAGAUUAUCACCCUUGCAGCUUUUGUACAUACAAGUCUCCCAGUCGAUCCUCUUGUAUCUUUUAUUUGCAGGGAGAGCCUUUUGUGUUGUAAAUGUACUGUUUGUAGACCUUCUUGCUAUUGUUGUGCAGUGUUAAUCUAUAGGUUGUCCAGAUUUGUUGUCUUCUGUGUUUAGUUUUUGUUUAUGUCGGACUCAAAUUUUGUAGUGCUUUUCAGAUGAAUGCUGGAUAAGGAUGAUUAAUUAUUUUUGCUUUUUUAUUCCUAAGGGAUGUUUGUGAAUACAAGAAAUGCAGCACAAUCUUUUAGUAAUGAUCAUUUUGAGAAUAAAAAAAAUUGAAUGAAAGCAUGGAGCUUGGUUGAGCUUUAAAAAGUUAGCCCCUAUUUGGUAUAGCUUAAAAUCAAAAUUUUAAUUUGAGUUAAAUUCAACAAUUAAUCUUAAUCACAUAGUUUAUGCGAUCCACAAAUUUUCAAUCACAUAUUUCAUAAAUUUUUAUCAAAAUCUAUUAAGAAUCUAAUUUUAAUAUCUAUCUGAAAAGGGCUUAAUAUGUACUUUUUGGAUGCAUGGUAAAAUGACAUGGGUUAGUUGUGUGGCGCCAAUGAGCAAGAACUAUAGUUAAAAAGAAGGAUAAAGGAUGAAAUUAACAUUAUUCAAAAGUUUAAGGACUAAAUUAAUGAUAUUAAAAACUUGGAAGGGUGGAAUUAACAUUAUUAAAUAGUAUGAGGAUGAAAUUAACUAUAGAGAAAAGUUUAUGGAUGGAAUUAAUAUUAUUUAGAAGUUGAAGGAUGAAAUUGAAGAUAUUGAAAAUUUGAAGGUAGAUAUAACAUUAUUAGAUAGUUUGAGGAUGAAAUAAACAUCGCUAAAAUGUUGUUGGAUUAAAUUGAUAAUCUAGAAAAGUUGAAGGUUGAUCUUACAUUAUUAAAUCGUUUGAGGAUAAAGUUGAGGAUAUUGAAAUGUUAAAGGAUGAAAUUAACAUUAUUAAACAGUUGAAGGAUUAAAUUUACGAUCUAGAAAAGUAGAAGGUUGAUUUUACAUUAUUAAAUAGUUUGAGAAUGAAGUUGAGGAUAUUGAAAAGUUAAAGGAUUAAAUCACAUUAUUCAUAAGUUAAAGAAUGAGAUUGAGGAUAUUGAAAAGUUGAAGGAUGAAACUCACAUUGUAAGAAUUUGAAGGAUUAAAUUGCCGAUCUUGAAUUGUUGAAUGAUGGAUAUAAUGUUAUUAAAUAGUUUGAGGAUGAAAUUGAGGAUAUUGAAAAGUUAAAGGAUGAAAUUCACGUUAUUAAGAAGUCGAAGGAUUAAAUUGAUGAUAUAGAAGAGUUGAAGGACGGAUUGUACAUUAUUAAAUAGUUUGAGGAUGAAGAAAAAACGAGUAAUACAUAGAAGAAUUUUGAAUUAAUUGGUUCUCGAAUUAUUCAAAUAGAUAUAGUCCUUGUUUGAGUCCCAUUUUGGGAGAGAAAAUGAAUUUUUAAAUAGUUAUUGAUGAAAAAUAUGUAGUUAAAAAUUAAGAAAAAAUUUUGAAUUUACGUGUAAUAUUAUUUUAUUGAAAAAUAUGUAGUUGAAAUGAUAUUGAAAUACCGUUGAAAAAUGUAUUUUUUUAAAAUAAUGAGGCUCAAACAAAUACCUAAAGUAUGAUCUACAUAUUUGUGAUAAGGAUGGCAAUGGGUCGAGUCGAGUCGAGCCUGCUCGGCCCUUUAACUCACGAGCUCGGCUCGACUCACGAGUUCGGCUUGACUCACGAACCGCUCGCAAGCUUGUGAUUAUUAUUGUUGUUGUUAUUUUUUUUUUAUUUUUUUUGCAAAUUUGUACAUUUUUUACGAGCCCACGAGCUCGUGAACUUGGGCACGAGCCACUCGCGGGCUCGACAGAUUAAGCCCCAUGUUCAGCUCAGGCUCGGACUUGUUAUUUGACGAUCUUGAGCCACCCACGAGCUGAAUUUUAACGAGCCGCUCGACCUGUUUGACAUCCAUAUUUGUGAACAAGUCAAAAUUCGUUGAGAAAAUUUGUUUAUGCUCAACGGAUCACACUUCAUAAAAAAAAAAAAUUGUUUCGGUACUCCAACAAAAUUUGAGGAACGAUUUCACCAAAUUCAACAUUUUCUAACGUUGUCAAUAUAAAAGCAUGUUAGUGUCCUUGCGUUUGGAGAUCUUGUAUUGGAAAACAUUCAAUCUUGUAGUAUAAUUUUUAUAUCAAUUCGUUAGUUUGAUGAACGGGAAAAGAAAAAAAUUAAAACAAAAAAAACAACAACAAAAUGAAUCCAAUGACAGAGAUAAUGGUUAGUACUCUCUUUGAAUUAAAAUUUUACAAUUUAAUUAAACGGUGAAGAUUAGAGGGCAUACAAGGAAUUAACAUUUUUAUAUGUAUGCAAUAGAUAUCGAAAUUCCAUGUAAUGCCCCAAAAUUAUUAUUAUUAUUAUUAUUAUUAUUAUUAUUAUUAUUAUUAUUAUUAUUAUUUAUAAAAAUUGGAGUGUUAUAAAAAACUCAAUUUUCUUUUUAAUAAAUACGUAACAACACAAAUUUAAGAAAUUCUUUUUUUUUCAACCAUAACUAUCAAUUUAAACACGAGAUCUGAGUUUCUAAAAUUUAAAGACAAUCAAUGGACUAAUUAAACAAACGAGUAUUUGAACAAAUAAAACUAAUAAUUAAAUUUAGUAACAUGAAAAGAAACAAACUAAAUGUUUAAUAUCUUUUUCCUUUCAUCGAUUCACUUAGCAGUCCGCAUCACCAUUCCGCUACAAUUUCAAUCGACCCGAAUUAACAUCUAAAAAUUUGUAAGAGUGAGUAUUCGAAAACAUUCAGUAAGAUCGUGCAGUUUUCAUACACAAAUAUAUAACAAAUAAGAUCUAUACUUCAAACUACUCUGCUCUUAUGGAACAUAUUAGUAACCAAGUGACACACCCAUUUUAGAUCAUCUUAUUAUCUCGUAGGAUUUUAUCUCUCUUUUUAUAGAAUCCGAAGAUCCACUGACAAUUCAUAUAUAUUUAAUUGAAUAUAAAAAUAUAAGGAAACGAAAACACUUGCACAGAGGUAUCUUAUCUCAUUAAAUAAAAUGAACUAUCGAACAAAAUAUGAAUGCACGUGCCUAAAAUCUUUUCUAUACUUUAGUGAAUAAUGGUUGCAGAUUGACUUUUUGUCUUCUAAUUCCCAAAAGUAUCAUCUCUCCCUCUCACGUAUGUGUAUACAUUUUUUGUUGUGGUGAAAUAUGAGACUCUUGUAUAGUAUUUAUAGUAAUAAAAGUGUUUGAGUUAUUAUAGAAAACGUGUAUCACCUAUUGGAUAAAAUUAAGUUUGAGUAUUUGGAUUAUAUUUCACUGACAAAUUCAUAGUCAUCCAAAUAGAACACUUGGACAAUGCUAUCACAUCAAGCCUAUUGGAGUUUGAAUUGACUAAUUAUUUUAAUAAAAUAAGAUAGAAUAUAAUGGAAAAAAAUUGUAGUUGUCGCCACUCAAGCAUGGUACCAACUACCUAACUAAUUAACAAAUCUUAAUAAAGACAAUUUCUUUAAAUUUUAAUGUUUUUGGCGUAACUGAUUCAAAUUAACUUUUUCUCGAGCCAAAGAUUUCUAAUCAAUUAUGAUCUUCGAAAUGAGUCCAAUAUCAAUAUACCAAAUUUUGUUCUAUGAUCAUCUAAUUAUUAAAUCUAACUAAAAUGGAAAUUAAAAGUCCUAUUUCAUGUUAGUCCCCAACUUUUAAAGAUAUAACAAUUUGUUUUAUUAUUAUUAUUAUCAUCAUCAAGUGCUACAAUCCACAAAAGUAAAAUUACCUUGGGAGGUACAAUUAAGGGUGCAUUUGAUUGCGAUUACAGAAAGAAAAUAAAAUUUAGGCAAUUCAAUUGUCCAGAACUUAUUUGUAUGGAAAUUAUUAAUUAAAUGUGUUUGGUUAAUUUAGUUCUCAAUCUAGAAAAUAUUAUAACUGUCUAUUUUUUAUUGGUGGGUAGAUGAUAAAUAAUGGAUUAGAAAAUAAAAUCUUACUCCCCAUAAAAAAAUAUUUUCUUUGAUUUUGAGCAAAAUAUGGUCACGUGAUCAAAAGUAAAAAAAUAUUUUUCAUGGAAAAAUGUCAAUUAAACAGCACAAAAGUAAAAAAUUUGAGUAGAAAAAAAUAUAUUUUUCAUGAAAAAAGAUUGGCAAUUAAACGCACCCUGACAAUAACAACGAAUGUCAUUUUAGCAAAACAAUUACGAAUUUGACAAUUUGUUGGUAAAUUAUGCACAUUUUGUAGGACUUAUAAUUUAUUAUUACUUAUUAUCUAUACAUUUUGUAGUAUCCACAACUUAUAAGUAAUAACAAAUAAGCUAUAAGUUGUAUGACUCUUGGUGGAACAUAUGGUUAUACAUGUCGAUAAUUGUACUUGUAUUUUAGCAAUUUUUGUAGGGUUUAACAAAAGGGAAUGAAGAUUUGCCCUGUAAUUAAAGAGCAAGAAAAAGCUUUAGGUCUAUAUAUAAUACUAUUUUAUUGAGAAUUGUGUUAUUGAAGUAAAAAGAGAGAAAAAUGUAUUUUUAAAAUAAUGAAGAUCAAACAAGGGCUAGAUAUAGAGACCCAUCCCAUCGUUUUUUAAAAUUACAGAGUCAUUAUUGAGAUUUGUUUUCUAUAAUAUAAUUAUGAAUUUUAAAAUUCUUUACAAAUAAUGUAUGCUAAGGUUGUGAAUUCAUAAAAGAAAUGGUUAAAAUUGAAAGUUGACACUUGAUCGAUUGAAAAGCUAGUAAAAUUUAGGGAUAAUUGUAGCAGAGGUCCCAAAUGUUUUAAAGAGUUGUAGACUUUUUUAUAACAUUUCAUUCGCCGCAGUCGUCAUUUCCAACCUUUUGAAAUAUUGCGGUUGAAGCCGCAAUAGACGGAUUUCAUCCAAAUGUCUAUUAGUUUACUAAGAAAUUGAGUUUGAUCGCCUUUUUUAAUAAAUGAUAAAAUAGUAACUUUCCAUUUAAUAAGAUAAGUUGAAAAUAAAAUAAGAAAAAGAAAAUAAUAAUAAUAAUAAUAAAAACUGUAGAUCUUCUUCAACGGUUCAACCUCCUCUAAACCCCAGUGUUACCCGAAAACUUAUCCAUCUAUAUUUCCGUGAUCCCGUCGAUCACGCAAAAACCACCGCCUAACAAUUUGCAGUUGCUCUGGCUUUCUCAUCUCAACCACUUUCACCCCCAGCCUUCUCAACACGACACCAGCCACACAAACACACAAUUGACCAUUUUGUCCCUACUCGUUAUCGUUGAAGUGCAAUGCUUAAUUCAAGGGAUUAUACUAGAAUUUUUCGAUCUUGCACUGGGCGCUCUUAUUGAACCGCCGGAUGAAUGUCUUCCAUUUAGGCCCAGGCACUACCUCCAACCAUUUUCUGGCUUUCUUUAAUGCUUUUAUUCCCCCAUCGCACUGAUCGCCAUUGAUAAUCUUCUGUUGUUUCUUCAAUGUCGAAAUCUACCCCAAAUAUCGGAACCUAAAAUUCCAAAAGCGAUAGCAGGCACGGCUGGAGGAUGCUCGUUCCUGUAUAUCAUCGUUUAAGUCCGUUUCUUUAUGUCAAAAAUUUGGGGUGGUUUGGUUUCGAUUUUGAGGAUUUUGGGGUUGGAGUUGGGUUGGGUGUGGCGUAGGUGAAGAAAACUAUAGAUGAUUAUUUUAUUUACUUUAUUAGUUUUUAAAAGAUAAUAUUAUAAAUAUAAAACUAUCAUUAUUCCCUUUUCAAAAUUAUAAAAAAAAAUUGGUCAAACUCAAUUUUUUGGCCAACUAACGAAUAUUUGGAUAGAAUCGUCCAUUGUGGCUUCAAUUGAAACAUUUUCGAAAAGUGAGGAGUGACGAUUGCAAUAAAUGAAAAGUUAUGAAAAUGUCUGCAAUUAUUUGAAAAGUUUAGGGCCUCUACUGCAAUUAUCAGUAAAAUUUAAGGAAAAAAAAAAAAAAAAGGUUGAACCCCAACCUUAAGGGCCCCCACCGACCCUGCCCUAAGCCAUCGUGGAGGAGGUAAAUUGCAGGAUGUGCCUCCCAGGAGUCAGGGUGGAGAGCACGUGGAUAGGCCAAUGCUGUUAACCCAUAUGGUAACUCCCGCUUGCAACAAAGUCAAUUCCACCUUGCGGGGAAUCGAACUCUGCACACUGCCGCGCUGAGCCCUAUCCGUCCUCCCCUUUGCCACUGGGAGAUAUGCCCGUAAAAUUUAAGAAAAUGUUUUACCCGGCAAGGACUUAGUAUGGAACACAAGGAGGUUAAAGAUUAUAACUCUCAUCAAAAUGUUCUAUAAUUAUUUUCCCAAAAAUAAUUUGGUAUUAUACAUUCAAGUGUUUUUUUUUUUUUUUUUUUUUAACCUUCCAUAUAAAGUUCUAGAAAUCUCUAUAUAAAUAUGUUUGAUGUAGAUUUUUGAGAAUUUUUUUUUUGUGAAAAGUGCUUUUAAUGUAUAGUUAAAAAAUAAUAAUGAAUCAAUGUGAAUAAUUAUUUUAUUUGGAGAAUUUGUAAUUGAAAAAGAUUAUAAAAAGAAUUCUAAAAAAAUCCUUACCAAACAUGGGCUAUUGACGAGCGUGUUUUUAUUCACGAGUUUUACACAAUUUUAAUUUGAUUAUUUGCUAGAUCUUAAGAUUAUAGAACUUUUUUUAUAUGUUUGAUGUGGGACAUGUUCGGGAAAAGGUACUAGUAGAGGGAAAACAUCCUAAUUUCGGAUUGGCCCAUAAGAUCAUUUUGAAAAGAGGACGACGAGAUAAACAAUACUCACAGCUUUGCUAUGCUGUUCGAUGAAUUUCAGCCAUUUGAGUUCGUUUGAGACUUGAAAAUUGAUUUUUAAAAUUUUGGCAUUAUUUUUGUUAUAUCAAUUAUUUUGGUUUUUUUUUUUCCAAUUUUAAUUUGUUUAAAUUUUGUUUCCAUUAAUCUACCAAAAUUCUUGUUUUUUUGCUUGAAUUCCUUGUUUUGUGCUGCGUCAAUGUUUGUUAGUGUUGUUUUGAAUGUUAAGCAGGGUGGAGUAAAAAGAAGUACUAAACUGAACAAAGAAACUAAAAUCAACGAAUUUAGAGCAACAAGUCAGCACCCAAACACUGGAUACCAAGAACUGCAAUUCGCAAAAAAAAAGCAGUUUUGGACGAAAAUGUAGCGCCCAGGCACUGCACUCAUAGCUCUUAGCACUGUCCCUAGCGCUUAGGCAUCGCAUUUAUAGCGCCUAGGCGCUGCCUAGACUAAAGUCACACUUAGGCGCUACAUUACAGCACUUAGGCAACGCGCGUCUAUUUUAUGAUUACACGAUUUUGGCCUGUAAAAAGUCCAUGAAGACUCCAAUUUUGGGAAGAACGUGAAGGGGAGUAUAAAAUAGAGAAAUUGAGUGUUUCAAAAAGAGAUUCCGCAUAUUGAGAGACACAAUAUACAACGUGAAAUUUAGAGAAAAAGUCGAAAGAAAGGAAAUAAGAAUUCAAGAUCUAGGUUUUGAAUUCAAGAUUGGAGGCAAGAAGAGAACUUGGUGCAAGAUUUAUCCUCUUUCUACAUCUAAAUUCUAACACAUGGUAAUGUACUUCAUGAAAAUUUUUAGUUUUUCUUCCAUUAUCAAGAGUAGUUAAAUUUAAUAUUAAGGCAAACAAUGUAAUCUUUUGAGACCCUUUAUUUCUUUCAUUCAAUAUUCAAGUUGUUUAAAUGAAUGUGUUGGUUUUAAUUAUGUACUUAAUGCUUUGAAUUUUUAGCCAUUCAUUUAGCUCCCGUUUGGUCCUCAUUAAUUUCUAUUACAUUACAUUUUAUUAUUUCUCUCCUAUUUUCAACCACGCAAUCUUUUAUAAAAUAAUAUUACACGUAAAUAAAAAAAUUUUCAUUUUUUUUCAACUACUCAUUUAAAAAAAAAAAAAAUACUAUUCCAUCAAUUUUCAACUCUACAAUGGGGGCCAAAUGGGUGCUUAAUGAUUUCGUGAGUCUAUUACGAAUCGAGAUAUGGGUUUUAGAUUGAGACUACAUAUUAAAAUUCGAUAAAUUAAUAGAGAUACUUAUAUUAAUUACAAAGGUCUUAGAUCAAUUCUUAGAAAUGAUAUUUCAUUUAACUAAGCUUGAUUCGCAUCGAGAUAUGGAGUUGAAUCAGUUAAAUAGGCUUAAUGAAAAUUCAAUAGAGGUAAAUUGGAUAUAAUAGAAGAAUCCGAUCAAAAACUACAUGAGGUGUGAAUCUUGAAUUACAAUUUAAAGGUGACCACUAGAUGAAAUUAUUACGCUUUAAUAUUCAUCCCAUAUUUGAAUCUUCAACCUAUCUUUUUGUGCAGUUUUGAUAUUUUCAAGUAUUUACAAAAAAAUAAUAAUUAAAACUGUUUUGUUUAUAUUUGUUAAAUAAUAUUUAGAGAUAUUAAAAUUAGGCAUUAAAGUAUAGCUCUUGUGGGAACAAUAAUUCGCACUCAAAGGUCCAUUAUAUUAUUUGUUCGAUAUUGUAUACUUGCUAUAGAAAAAACGCAAUAGCUAUAUCUUUUACAAUGAGACAAUGUAUUUAUAUAUCUAAUAUUAAUAAGUUCAUCUUUUCCUUUUUAGUCCCCAUUUCAAAAGAAUUCAAGAACAAUUUAAUUUAUAAAUAGAUAAAAAUGAAUAAUACUUGCAAAAUAAUUAAACAUGUUGCUGAAAUGAAGUUGGAUCAAUUUACAAAUUAUUUAUAAAUUUGUCAAUGUAAGGCUCAGGGAAUUUCCAACCAUACAUCAAAUCUCUCCACCAAUUUGGCGUAACACUUCAUUUAGUGUGAUUUUAGAGUGUUCAUAAUUUUUAUUUUGUCAAUCAUUUUAUAUUACAACACAUUUUAAUUCCUAUUAUGUUACUUUUAUUAUUUAGUGAUUUAACUUUAUUUUAAUUUAAUUAUUAUUUUCAAAUAACAUUUGAUUAUUUAUUUUAACUUUAUUAUUUUUAACUGUGAUAUUAAGGCCUUAUUUGUCUAUUAUUCUACUUCAUUUUACUACAUUAUUUUUUCUACAGUACUCAUUUUCAACCACACGUUCUUCAUUAAAAUAAUAUUACACAUAAUAAAAAAAUUUCUUUUUUUUCACAACACAUUUCAACAUCAAUCAUUAUUCUAUAAUACAUUAUUCACAAAUAAUGGGGUACAAACAAGCACUACGUUUAAUGUUUUUAGUAUAUCAAUAAACAAAAAUAUAUUUAUUUAAUUAAAUAUAAAUUUAAUACUAAUAUAAUUUUUAAUCAAAUAUUCAUUAAAAAUAAAUUAAUUAUUGAAAAUUAAAAUAAGAAAAUAUUGAUCAUUUUACGUAAUGAUUGAAGAUAUUUUUGUAAAAUCUAUAAUAAUAAAAAUAUAUUAAGGGCCGUUUAAGCCACAUUAUUCCAAAAAAAUGUAUUCUUAAACAGUGUUUUGACAUCAUUUCAACCACACAUUCUUCAAUAAAAUAAUAUUACAAGCAAAUAAAAAAAUUUCUUAUUUUUUAACCACGUAUUUCUCAUCAAUACACUAUUCAAAAAUGUAUUUUUUAUGAAAAUAAUGUGGCUCAAACAAGGGCAAAGUCAAUGGAUUAGUUUAGCCAUGGAUAUCUAAAAUGGUUAAAUAAUGGUUUAGUGGGGUCUUCUCUAGUUAAUAAUUGAUCAAAGGAAAAGUACUAAAGAAGCAGAACCAUUACCACAUUUUCUAAUACUUCUUGUUUCUUGCCUUUUUUCAAUAAGUGAUUGCUUCUAAAAGUAGGACAAGAAAUUAUUAUUAUUAUUAUUAUUUUUUAAAAUUAGGAGGAUAUAAGCCAAGGCUUUAGGAAACAAAUUGAAACUUCAUGUUCGAAAAUCGUAGUCGAUAUAAUAACAAAUCGAAACUUCAUGUUCGAAAAUCGUAGUCGAUAUAAUUGAACAAUAAAUGUUUACUUUUUAUUUUUUAAUACUGUUCAAUACUAUAGAGUUUAGUUUAAGAAGCUUUUAAAUGCACUAAAGUUCCAAUAGCGGAGGUCUGGGCAGAUGGCAUAACAAAAGGUGAUUUUGAGAUGCAGUACCACGCCACCCCACGCUGGCCCCCAAUCCCUACUCCUAAUCCUAUCAUUACUGGCUAAAGGAAAGUAGGUUAGACUUUUACAUUAUUAAAUAUUAUUAAAACGAAAGAAGUUAAAAUUUUAUUUAUCGAAAAAAGGUUUAACUACAAACAAUUUUUUAUAUGAGUAGAUUGCUUGAAAGGAAGAAUAAUUGAAGAUUGAGAUUCGAUAUUUAGAGAAUAUAUUUCCCAUAUAUCGUAAAUUCUAUAAUAAAAAGCAAUGACCAAUAAUAAUUAACAUAACCCUAAUAUUCGACUUCUCUUUCUCUCUGUCUUCCUGCAUUUUCCCUCUCUAAAUUUCAUACUCUAUACAAGACUUCAAUUUCAAAUGGCGACGGCGGGCGAAGGAGGAGUCACAACCAACACAGACGGCAUCGCUUCCUCUUACGAUGGUGGGGGAGGAGAAGGGGUGGGAGGAAGGUCCCGCAGGAGGCCGUUCCGUAGAGCCCAUCAUACGACGCCGUACGAUCGCCCUCUCACUGCUUUCCGAGGAAUUACCACCGCAGCGAUCAACAAUAUCAACUCUAGCUGGUUGAAUAAGCUCGUGGUGGACCCGGCCUCCAAGCUCAUCUCUUAUGGGGCUCACCGCUUCUUUGCCUCCGUUCUUCGCAAACGUCUCCCACCUCCUCCCCAACUAACAGGUAUACGUUCCAGUUUAAUUUUUUUCUCCAGAAAAUGGUUUUCUUAUUUGGUCUCGCAAUUUGGUAUAUUAGUUUCGUUUUAUUCAAUUUCGUGUGAAAAUUUUGAUUCGAGGUUUAAUUUUUUAUACAUUUUGAUUUCUUGCUCCUAUAUUUGCAUGUGUUUUGUGGAGUCAUUCAGAUUGGAUUUUUACUCUUGGUCCGAUGGUGAAUUGGUAGGCUUUGAGUAAUAUUGGUGAAUGAUUUUUUGCUUUGAACCCUGUAGCCAACAUAUAAGUUUCGAGUAUCUGAAUUAAUUUGUUAUUUGUUUAUUUACACGAAAUGAAUAUUUCUUUUUUAGUUUAAGGUUAAUACAAUGUAGUAUUCAUUAUAUUUAUGUGAGUGUCUACUGACUAGAGCUCAGUGUUAAUUAGGGAAAAUGAAGAAGUUCUAAUUUCUGAAGGAUUUUAGUUUUUAGAAAUUUAGGUUAAAAUCAAUUUACCAAUGAAAAAUGAAUUAGCCUUUACAAUUCCAGCACACCGUUUUCUCUGUCCUUUUAUCACUUCUUAAGUGAUUCAUAUUGCACAAUCUUAUAGAUCUGUCAAUUCGAAGUUCAAUUGCUUAAUCUUGCGUGCUUUGCGAAGAAAUGACUUUAUAUUUAUUUCUGCACUUGUGUAUGGCAAUGCUGCUUUUGUCAUUUAAGCUAUGUUUCACAUUCUUAUGAUCUUUGCAAUAGCUGCCACCAUAUAUUUCUAUUUCAUACAUCAUCACCGUCACCAUCAUCAUUAUUUUUAUUAUUAUUGUAUCGAACUAGGUGCAGUUUUUUCACAAUAAAGACGUGUCUAUUUUGAAGGAGUCGUGAUUCAAUAAUGCAAUUUCUAUUUCUUUCCAUCGGCAAGCACAUUCACGGUGACUGUCUGAUGCGACUUCUCUUCCUAGGUGGUGGCUUAUCAUUUCUUUUUAUGAUCUAAAAGAAGAUAAUUAAGACAUGGGCUAUUUAUGGGAUACAUACCUCAGGAGGUGUGAAGUUUAUUACUCUGUCUGAGUGAGACCUAAUUGAUUUUAUUAUCCGUUACAGAGGCAAAUGAUGAAUCGAGCGACGGGCUUCAGGAGGCGAUUCCUAAUGUAAGUGUUAUUAUACAUGUUUACUUGUCCUGAAAGUUGUAUUUCUUUUGGCUUUUACGCUCUUCUAUUUCCAUUCUCAAAAUAUUAAUUUAUAUAGAUUGCUAAAAUUUUUAACUCAGUAUCGUAGUUGAGCUUAUUUAUACGUUGGUCACACCUGCGCUGAUACGGACCAUCUACAUUCUGUCUUUUUUAAAAUGGAUAGAAAAGUAAUAAAAAAAUUUGGGAGUUGGAUUUGGAGAAGAUGGCUCCUUCACUAGAUUGUUUGUUUAGAAAGUUGACCUUGCUAUAUAGGCCUGCGACCUGAUUAUUGGAUCUACUAAUUUUGGUUAUUUUAGAAUUCUUGAUUAAGCUGUCUUGCCUAACUGAUGGGAAAUGGUGAAUUGGGGUUUAUUUGAGAUCUGAAAGUAAUAUGUUAUUAAAAGAUGUUCCGUAAUGUUAUCACAAACAUGCAAGACAUUGGACAACAACAAAAAAUAUAAAAGAAAGAGUGAAAUGACUGAAGUCACACUUUGCAAUUUGAAACAUUGCAACUUCAAUCUGUAUGUGGAUCUGAGUGUGGGGUUCGGAGUAUCAUACUUAACUUAUAGGAGGCUAUCACACAAAUGAUUCUUUAUCUGUUCUCUUCUCUAGUCUUAGAAUCUUCUCUUUCUAGUUCACUGGUGAGUUUUGUUUACAACAACUCGAAAAACCCUUCAAAUCUCUCUGGAAUAUGAAGCCCAAAAAGCGAAGGCAAAAAAUUCCAGAAUUGGAAAGAGUAAAAAGCAUCUCAUACCUCAGGUGGGCCAAAGUUUGUGCACUGAGAUGUGCACCUCAGCAAGUCUAGGCAUAAAACUUAGCAAUUGAACUAAAAGAGUAAACUUUGAGGUUCUUAAUGAGCUUUGCAUAAUUUUGGAGCGCUUUUAAAAAAAAAAAUGGAGCGUCACUUGUUAUUUAAAUGUUAUUUACUUAUAAGUAGUUUAUCCUCAGAUGAGGAUUCGAAAUAUGUUCAAUCUUUACAUAGAGAAGUUGUCAACUUUAGAAGAAUGCAAAUAUAAUAAGAUAAGUUGGAACUGUGUGAGGAGUGACUUUUGUUCCGAACACACAUUCCAUGUAGGGCAUAUUUCACCCCAGUGCAUACACGCACCUUCUGUUACUUCCUUGGAAGUCUUAUCGCUGAGUUAGCUCCGAUUGUCAUGAGUUGUAGAUAUUCCUUCCACCUAUGUUAUUUAGCCCCUGUUUGUGCCCCAUUUUUGUGAGAAAUGAGUUUUGUAAUGGUAAUUUUUUCAGAGAAUGUGUUUAAGAAGUAGGAAAAAUUUUGGGGAUUACAGGGAAAAUUAUUUUAUUGGAUGAAUGUGUCAUUGAAAAUGAAUUUGAAGAGAAAUGAGUUUCUAGAAAAUGGGGCUCAAAAUGUGGGCUUAUCAUCUCCUCCUUUUAACCAAGUUUAGGAAAAGAAUCCUAUUGACACCUCACCACUACAAUCUCAAAUUUCAUCUCUACCCCACAUGUUUGUCACAUUUACCAAAAUGAGUUGCAAUAUGUUGAUUUUUUUCCCCUCAAUUUCUACUGCCACCUUUGAAUGGACAAUUUUUUAGGUGUUGACAUCUUACAUGAGACAUCCAAAAUGUGUGAGUAACAUGAGACAGAGGAAGUCUAAACUAAUCAGAUCAAUGACGAAUGUUGUCCAUCAGUAUUCACUUUUAUGGACUGGUAGAAGAGGCAGAAAAAUUCUUCUUGAUCAACGUUUAUGUGAACUCUCUCUUGAUAGUGCCGGGCAUUUAUAUCAAUGAACAAAUGUUUCAACUCACUAUGAAGAGUUGAAAAGAAUAAAUGUCAUUGAGUUGUGAUUUGCAUCAGUAUUCAUACAUCUUGUAAACCAAUAUUAAUUGCUUAUUGAGCUUAUGGACGUCUUCAGAAGUAUAUUUAUGAAGGUAUUUUUGGGAAUUUGAAAAAAAAUAGGAUGUACAAUACGCUUUCCAAUUGGGAUUUCAGAUGCUGGUUCUUAUCUCAACAGUUGAUAGAUUUGGAUAUGGAAGUAACAAUUUUUGUAGAACCAGUUAUAGGAAGAAAAGUCUGCUAAUGCAGAGCUAUGAAGCAUGGACAUGGAGAGGCCGGAGUGUUGGUGUUUAACACGUGUCGGAUAACGACGCGCUGGACAAAUGGUGGACACGUGUUGAAAGCACCACCUGAUGUGCGCCCCCCCCCCCUCUUCCUUCGUUCAUUCAAGCAGUCUUACCGCCGGAUACAUGGGGCCGACAUGUUUCUCAAGAGAAAAAAGGAGAAAUUACUAAGGGCAUUUCCAAUGCAUGCCCUAUUGUACCAAAAUUUGGUGCAAACUUCCUCCAACCAUUGCACCAAAUUUUGGUGAAAAUGGUGCAACAUAUGGUUCAACACUAUUCAUUACACCAUUUUUUGCACCAAAUGGUGUAAUGUCCGUUUUGCCUUUAUUUUUCAUUUUUCAAAGAUAAUGGUUAAAGGUAUUUGUGUCAUUUUCGUUCUAUAAUGAUAAUGGUAAUGGUAAUGGUAAUGAUGAUGAUGAUGAUGAUGAUGAUGAUUUUAUUAUUUUUAAUAAUAUAAUCAAUAAUAAUUAAAGUAAUUGUUAAUUUAACGUAAAGUUUAAUUCAUAAAGUUUACGUUUAAAGUUUAUAUUAUUAAAGUUUAUUAUUUUUGCAAAUUUAACGUAAUUUUUUAUCAUAAAUUAAUAAUAUAAUCAAUUAUUCUUGUCAAUUUAACAUAAUAUAUAAAACAUAUGAAUAAUUUAGUAAUCAAUAUAUUUGUUAAUUUAACGAAGUUAUGAUUUAGUAAUUUAUAUAGUUCUAAAAUAAAUAAAUAAAUAAAUAAAUAAAUAAAUAAUUUGUUUAAAUAAAUACAUUGUCAAAAAUCGAAAGAAUGAAUAAAAUAAUAAAUUACUGUUCAUUUGAUAUAAGUUUUGUUGUAAUGGUUGGAGAAGAAUUUUGGUUUGGUGUAAAAUUUGGUGCAAAAUGGUACAAAUUUUAGUGCAGCUUGAAGAUGGCCUAAGAAUGUAAGAUGAGCUAAGCUCGAUCAAUGAAUAAAAUGCGAGUAGGGGGAGAGGGAGUGACAGAUCUGGGACAUGCGAGAGUAGGCAGAAGUGGAGGAGAAGAGGCUGAUGGAUGAUUCUAGAAAAAUUGGUUCUUUUGUUUUGAUGUCUGUUUUCUUUUUAGGUUAAAGAGGUAAUAUGUGCUUUUAUUCUUUUUGAGUCAUAAGGGAAAGUGGUCAGAAAAACAGACUUUUAUUAGCCAGAUUGAGACCUGUGGGAAGAUAACUUUAUUUGCAAAAAGGGACAUGCAAUUUUAAGUUUAAUUGCAAAAAAAAACCCAUGCAAUUAUGAAAGAUUAUAAAAGAAUAAAAAAGUGUCCCUACACUAUAAAAAAUUAGAAGUUAGUAUUUCAAAAUGUUUAAAUAUUAUUUUAAUUGGUGUGUCCGACGUGUCAUUUCCUACUUUUGAAAUUUGCUAGUCAGCAUGUACAUGUCUUUGUUUCUUUACAUAUAAGGUUAAAGAGGUAAUAUGUGCUUUUAUUCUUUUUGAGUCAUAAGGGAAAGUGGUCAGAAAAACAGACUUUUAUUAGCCAGAUUGAGACCUGUGGGAAGAUAACUUUAUUUGCAAAAGGGACAUGCAAUUUUAAGUUUAAUUGCAAAAAAAAACCCAUGCAAUUAUGAAAGAUUAUAAAAGAAUAAAAAAGUGUCCCUACACUAUAAAAAAUUAGAAGUUAGUAUUUCAAAAUGUUUAAAUAUUAUUUUAAUUGGUGUGUCCGACGUGUCAUUUCCUACUUUUGAAAUUUGCUAGUCAGCAUGUACAUGUCUUUGUUUCUUUACAUAUGGAUAUUAGCUGAUCUUCGCAUAUAAAUAUCCUCACCCUACAUUAUCUGAAUUUGCACUUUGUGCAAGCCUUUAAAAUAUUUAGAACUGAAUAGAAAAGGACCGAGGAAGAAGCUAACACUUGAACUGAGUUGAUGCCUUGUAGUCCCGUUUCCACGAGCUUAGGUAAUCACAACUUUGUCAAAGUCAUGGGGUGUUUAUAUCUCUACAAAUGAAAGAGACUGCUGGAUAAAGACAGCUCGUCUGAAAACAAGUUACCUGCAAAAUUGGUCACCGAGAGCUCUUGCAGUUACUGCUGUUCAAAUAAAACUGAAACAAUAAUCAUAGCAAGCACAUGGAGAUUGGAGUUGGUUGUGCUUGCUUCUCCUAAAGACCAAAUUUCAUAUCAGUACGGGAUCUCACACUGCUAUUUGGAUAAACUCACUUAUUGUUCAUCAGGAAAAUUGCAAUCAAAUCUAGAUAUACUAAUUAAUUUAGAGAAAGGGAGGUGGAAAGGAUCAAAUUGCUUUCUAAAACCACAAUCUGAUGUGGAAUGGAUAAACGUUUAAGUUGGCAAUUAAGCCUCCAUUUGGGAAGAAAUUUUAAAUGGUUCAAUUUAUAAAUAGGUAGAAAUGAGUGGUUGAUAAGUGAAUAGUACUUGUUCCAUUUGGGAAGAAUUUUUAAAUGGUUCAGUUUAACUUUCUACAAAGGGCAGUUCCAAUUUCCAGGUCACUGUAAAAAGAUUAGGUUCAUGAAAAAUAUAUCAUCCCAAAAUAUUUAUUAGUAGGCUCCUGGAGGUUGACUUUCAUAUAAGAAGUGUGGAAUUCCUUGCAGAUUGUUAGCUGAAAUUUGCAGUUGUCGCAAGAAACUGUGCAUUUUGAAGCCCUACAUUUGUUUAUUCAUAUUAAGUUGUGCCACUCUGUUUCAUUUACUUAGGAUUUCCAUUAUGGCUCUUAAACCUGAUGAAAGUUUUUUAUGUCUUUUGUAAUUGGUGAAGAGUCAAUCUGGCCCAAUAGAACCUGCAGGUGGUAAUAGUAGUCAUCCAGUAAAUCGCUCUGACAUUGGUGGGAUAUCUGAGCUUGAGCAACUGUUAAAGCAGAAGACAUUCACCAGGUAAGGCUGUGGAAAAAUGUCACCAGUCAUGAACAGGUUGUUUGCAUGUGUACAUGCACGAUGUCUAUUUUGAGAGCUGAAUGCUCUAGACAGCUGAAGUUUUUCCAGGGUUCUCUUUAAUAUAAUAGUUGUGACCCUUUUCCCAGGUCAUGUUCAAAAUCUCAAAUCUGGAGCAACUGAGCUUAGCCUUGAGGCUUAAGCCUCUGAAUAUCGAUUUGCAAGUCUUCAAGGCAUUGGAUUUGAGGUUUUUAAACCUAGAGUGGUGUAUGCCUCAGUUAACUUUUUAAGAGCCUGUUUUGGAUUAAAAUCCGAUUAAACUCUCAAUUGAAAGUCAACAUUAAAUUUUAACUACAUAUUUCAUGGGACCCACAACUUUUGAAUCACACAUUUCAAAAACUUGUAUGAAAAAUAUAAUUUUAAUCCCAUCAAACACUCUAUAAAUCACUAGGUGAAAUAUCUUUCAAUAUGUGUAACUUUUCCUUUUAAGAUUUUGAGUUGACAUGUUUACAGGUUAUCUCCAAUUCCCUUUUUUUUUUUUUUUUUUUAAUAGGGAAUCCUCCUUUUGCUAUAUGUUACUUGUGAAAUCUUAUAAUGAAUUCCUCGCUUGGAUAUUUUGAUGUACAAGUCAGUGUGAAUGUAUAAACUAAGUAUACCAUCUUUAGGUCCUGAAGUUUGCAUUUCUGUUGAGCUUGAGUUAUCAAAGUGAAGCUAAAUUGAUGCAGAUCUGAGAUUGAACGCCUCACGGAACUUUUACAUUCACGAGCUGAAGAGGUGCCGGUUGGCGAAAGAACUCAAGAAGCAUUACCAGAGCUAGCAUCCAGUUUAGGAAGGCAUCGACAGUUCUCGAGUAGUCCAUUGGAAGAAGAUAGAAAUGAGAGGGAUAGAUAUCAUGGAGUCAAUACUACUAUAGCCAAUUCGAGAGUACGAUAGUGUACUUAUUUUACAUGCACAAUACUUGUAUCAUUUGUUAAUUUGUAUGCAAUAUUUUGUAGUAUCUGCAUUAAUAUAAGGUACCAGCAGUUUUCAUUGAUAUUUAUUUGGAAGAAAUAUUUCCAGGUCCUUGAGGAUGAUAUUGCUUCUCCAGCUGAACUUGCAAAAGCUUACAUGGGCAGUGGGCCUUCAAAGAUAUCACCAUCAAAGUUGGUGAUGCGCAGUCAAAUUGGUAGGGAAGAUGCUAGAUUGCUUGGCAAUGUUCCAUUUACUCCAAAAUCACCUGUCAUGUAUUCGACAACCAAAGUUGCUGUUAACAUUGGGGUUCCAGAGAAUAGUAUUAUAACUCCAAGAUCUCGAGGCAGAUCAGCAAUUUACAACAUGGCUCGUACUCCUUAUCCCAGAGUUAAUCCAACAGCCAUUCUCAAGGUUCUAUCAUGUUACUAAUUAUAUGUGUAGUAAAUGCAUGCAUAUUCUGCAGUUCAAAAUAUACCAUAUUAAUGGAUGCACAUGCUCUACAUGUUGGUUAAUUUUCAGGGAAAUGGAUCCACUAAUGUUUAUGGGGGAUCCUCACUUUCAACAUCUCGGUCUCUACUGGAGAAUGAUUUGUCUAAACAAGUGGUAUAUAUCAGUGGUUUGUAAUAUUUUUAACUUUUAAAGUUUAGAUAAUUACUUUUUUUAGUUAUCUUCAACCUUCUCAGAAUUUUCUUUGCAUUUCAGAGCUUAAAACGAAGGAGUUCAAUAUUUGAUGAUGAUCUUGGAGAAGGCGGUCUCAUGCGGAGAAUCCGACAAAAACCUAAUCUCUUGUCUCCUAGAAUUCCUCGUUCAGCCGGUGGAGCGGUAAUAGAUUUUGAUGGUGUUCGAGGAUCUUCGAAGCAGAAGCUUCCAUUAGUGGAUGAACCAAAGCAUAAGCUUUCAAUAACUGUUCGAAAGAAUGAGAAUGACAGCAUUCCAAGCACAAGUUAUGCUCAUGUUCCUCCUAAGUCCACUGAGGUGGCCUCAAGAAUAUUGCAGCAUCUUGAAAAGCUAAGCCCGAAGGAAAAAUCAUCGGAUCCUCAACUAGUUGCCUUGUGGGAGAAAACACCCAAUAAAUUGACACCAAAUAUGCUUCAUGGACAAGCUCUGAGGAGCCUGGAGCACGUGGAAUCCUCAAAGUUGCUGCAAGAUGUCCAUGAUGACCAUAAGUUGGAGGAUUGGCCCAUUGUUACUUUACAUGAUGCACAUGACUUCUCUUCUCAAACGAAAGGCAGAGUAGAACCAAGAGGACCAAAAGAUUUUGCUAUCCCUCUUGAUAAGUCGACUCUUGCAACGAACAAUGAUACCACAGGAUCAUUGAAAGCUUCUGUGCCCAGUGUUGAAGCAUUUGAUUCUGUUAAUAAAAAUUUUGCAGCUCAACCUCCUAAAGGAAACAAGCGUUUAGGAUGAGUGCACAAGAAGUAAGUGUUAUUUAAUUGAGUUAUGUACAGUAAAUACUCCAAUCAGUUGUAUACUGAAUAAAUUUGAUUUGCUGUUUUUAUUGGGUUUAAAUUUAGAGAUUAUAGCAAUCCAGUUUCUCUUUGUAAAACAUAGUUUAAAUUUGUGUGUUUUGAGGAUUUAUGUGUAGUUGGUUGUGAUCGAUUGUGCUUAUUUCCUUUGUCCUUUGAAAAUUGACGACUUGCCUUUGUGAAAAUCUAGAUGUCCUAUUUAUAUCAUUUUCUUUAUUUCUGUUUUAAUUUCUGUUACUGUUUUUUUACAGGAUUCCUUUGCGCUGGAUGAUGACAUAAAUUGCAAUGGGGUUGGUCCUAAACUAUUUUCUGAAGAAAGAGUGACUAUGGAAACCUCUCUUAGCAAGCCCUCACCUACUGAAGAACUAAAGCUGGAUCAAACUAUAUCUCUGUCAGAAGAGAAGUCAGUUCUGGAUCCUAUAUCAAGCAAAAGAAGUGACAUGGGAAGUGAUGGCUCUGCUUUUUCUUCUUUACAUGAUACCAGCACAGCUUCAGAAUCAGUGGUGCUCACUCAACUAGUCUCUGCAACUGACAAACAAAAGGAGGCUAAUGAUUUGCAUCCCUUGUUUAGUUUUAGCUCCAAAACUGUUAAUGAGGGUCCAUCACCUGCAUUUUCAUCCUCAACUCCUGGCUUAUCAAGCAAAAGACCAUUUACUUUGUCAGAAUCUAAACCAGAAAACUCCUCUAGGUAAGUCACUGCCUGUCAAAUAUGUAGCUGACAAUUGCUAUUGAGUUCCAACCUUUGUUUUGAAAAGGGUUUACUCCUUGAGGCAAGCCUCACACAAGGUUUUUUUGAAGCGCAUCAAAGUAUAUGCCUUAGUACAAUUUGCAGAGGGCUUAUGCCUGGGUUUACCAAGGUGCACACCUCAAGUCAUCCUUGAGGAGGCUGAUGUCUGCGCUCUAUUAUUUUGUCCUUUUUGUCGCGAGCUUCAGCCUUUUGGACUCCUUUUUCAUUUUUUAGAACAUUUUAAGGGUUUUUUUGGGGCUAUCUUAAACUCAACCAUAACAUUUAGAAAAAUGGAAUUGUAGAAGAUAGCAAGCGAAGCAAGCAUGCCUAAACUUCCUACAACUGAAGUGCUAUAACCUUUCAGCCAAGUGAAGAUGCUACUUUUCUGUGGCAGAUGGUUGGUGAUGAGACCUACGACACAUAAUUUCAUUCUUUUCGUUCUACAUUUCUCUUGUUUUUUUAUGUUUUUGUUUCAGUUUCUUCUGUUUCAAUUUUUCUUUUCCUUUAUAAGGGGAAGACUAGGGAACUGUUGGAAGUGGAGGAUGAGGAAAAAGAUUUAUGCAGCAUUAUUCAAGUCUUUUUCAUACUACUUUUGUUGGUUGAUAUGUCAGAUGAAUGCAUUAUGAGGCUUGUGCUUCUGGGUUACAGUAAUAGUUAAUUUUAGGGUCCUGUUUGUCACGGACUUGCUAAUUUCCUUCAAGAACCGUGCGGCCUUAGUGUCUUUUAACUUCCGCCCCCGCGGUUAUUACACUAAGUCAGCCUCCCGAUUGGCGUUGAUGUUUUAGAAAGGGACUAAGUAGAACACUUUAAGAAAGGGACAAGGAAGGAACACAAGAGCUUACAAAGAAUGCUUUGUAUUGAAAUAAGGAAUGCUCUUUACAACUUCACUCUCUUGUUGAUGCCUACAAAUGAAUCCUAUCAAGCUAUUUAUAGUGGUAGCCUCCUCAAAUGGAUGGCUAGGAUCUUUUCUAUCCGACGGUCUAGAUUACACUUCUAGAAUUAUCUAUACAAAUAUCUACAUCAAAAAUAUCUAUGGACUAUCCUAGGAUGAUCUAGAAUAAUCUACCAAGUGAGGGGCUUGUAGUUUUCUAGAAUGUCCCACCAUAUUCUAGCAAGCUUCAUGCACUUGUGGGAGUCUAGAAUAUUCCGGUUAGCCCCAACUCGUCAACAUUUUAAGUUUCUCGAUCUUCUUGCGCCAAGAUCGAGCGGGUUGUGACAUCCUCCCCUGCCUAUUUGGGCGACGCCCUCGUCGCCGCGUAAUGCUUUAGUUGGUCUUCGAACUGCCACAAGUCUUCUUGACUUUCCCAUGUUGCUUCGGACUCGGGCAAUCCCUUCCACUUUAUCAAAAAUUGUUGGCAAGGAGGCACUCCACGCCUUCGAACAAUGCGAUCUGCUAGGACCUCAUCAACCUCCUUGUCAAAUGACUUAGUCACAAUCGGAGGUGCCCGUUGUGACUCCCCUCGGCUAGAGUCUUCCAUGUCUUCAUGAUAUGGCUUCAACAUGCUCACAUGGAAGACGGGAUGAAUCUUUAAAGUGCUAGGUAGGUCAAGGCGAUAAGAUACCUUGCCAACCUUAGCUAUCACCGGGAACGGCCCUUCAUAUCUCCGUACCAAGCCUUUGUGCACACUUCGGUACGCCUUGAAUUGUUGAGGUAAUAUUUUCACAAGGACUUGGUCACCAACUUUAAAUUCCAAAGGCCGUCUCUUCUUAUCGGCCCACUUCUUCAUGCGCCUCCGUGCUUUGUUUAAACAAGAUCGUGCUAAGUCGGCAUGCUCUUCCCAUGACUUAGCCAUCUUGUAUGCACCGGGGCUUUUCCCUCCAUCACUAGAAGUGGACAAAGUGUGGGGUGUUAGUGGUUGUUGUCCUGUCGCCAACUCGAAUGGACUCCUCCCCGUGGCUUCACUCCUUUGUAAAUUAUAGGAAAAUUGUGCAACAUCCAGGAGCUUGGCCCAAUCUCUCUGAUUGGCACUUACAAAGUGCCGGAGAUAGCACUCCAACAAAGCAUUCACCCUUUCUGUUUGUCCAUCCGUCUGAGGGUGAAAGCUUGUAGAGAAGUGUAGGUCUGAGCCUAGGAGUUUGAACAACUCCGUCCAUAGCCGACCCGUGAAUCGGGGAUCACGAUCACUUAUUAUGCUCCGCGGUAACCCCCAAUACUUCACAACAUUCUUGAAGAAUAGCCUUGCGGCUUCCUCCGCGGUGCAAUCCUUGGUGACAGGAAUGAAGGUGCCAUACUUGGAGAAUCGAUCAACCACUACCAUUAUUGACCCGAACCCUUCGGAUUUAGGCAGGGCACUAAUGAAGUCCAUGGUGAUAGAGUCCCAUGGACGCUCCGGGACUGGUAGAGGCUCCAACAAACCUGCUGGUGACCUUGUUUCCACCUUGUCUUGUUGGCACACAAGACAAGUCUUUACAUAGAGCUCCACCAUGUCUUUCAUUUGCGGCCAAUAGUAAGCUCGUUCAAGUAGUGCCAAGGUGCGUUUCUGCCCUGGAUGACCAGCCCAGCCUUCCCGAAUCAAAUCAAGCAACGUCCCUUUGGCUUGGCUUAUGGCUGCAAGCUCCGCCUUCCUGCUUAAUGCAUCGGCUACGACAUUCGCCUUCCCCGGCUUGUAUUCCAUCACAUAGUCAAACUCCGCUAAGAAAUCUUGCCAACGCGCUUGCUUGGGAGUCAGCUUCUUUUGUGAUUGGAAAUAGCUAGUAGCGACAUUAUCCGUCUUGAUGAUGAAUUUUGAUCCCAACAAGUAAUGACGCCACACUCGUAGGCAAUGAACAAUAGCCGUCAUUUCCUUUUCUUGCACCGUAUACCGACGCUCAGUGUCGUUGAGCUUGCGACUUUCAAAAGCAAUAGGAUGCCUUUCUUGCAUUAGCACACCCCCGAUAGCAAAGUCUGAGGCAUCCGUUUGUACUUCAAAGGUCUUGGUGAAAUCUGGCAAUGCCAAGACCGGUUCCUCCAUCACGGCCGCCUUCAGAUCGUCAAAGGCCGUUUUACAUUUCUCGGACCAAUCCCAUGUCUUAUUCUUCUUCAAUAGGUCCGUUAGUGGGGCUGCCCUCGCUGAGUAGCCUUGGAUGAACCGCCGAUAAUAAUUAACUAGACCAAGGAAAGAACGAAGUUCGGUUACCUUGGUUGGUGCUUCCCACUCCUUGAUUGCUUUUACUUUUGCCUCGUCCAUCUUCAAGCGCCCGUGGCCAAUGAUAUGUCCAAGGAAGUGCACCUCCUCCUUGGCAAAGGAACAUUUUUCCUUUUUAAUGUAUAGUUCAUUCUCCCGCAAUGCUUGGAACACCGUUCGGAGAUGUUUUGCGUGAUCCUCCAAGUUGUCGCUAUAGAUGACAAUGUCAUCCAAGUACACUACCACGAACUUGUCCAAGUAAGGUUGGAAAAUCCUAUUCAUCAAUGUGCAAAAUGUGGCCGGGGCGUUGGUUAAGCCAAAAGACAUUACCAACCAUUCGAAUGAGCCAUAUCGAGUGAUGCAUGCUGUCUUAGGCUCAUCCCCUUCUGCAAUCCGUACUUGGUAGUAUCCCUUUUGUAGAUCCACCUUUGUGUAAUACUUUGCACUACCAAGUCUAUCAAAUAAAUCGGCAAUCAAAGGAAUAGGAUACUUGUUUUUAAUUGUUACCUUGUUGAGCGCCCGGUAAUCUACACACAUGCGUAACGAUCCAUCAUGCUUCUUUUGGAACAAGACCGGGGCGCUAUAAGGUGCCUUCGAAGGUCGUAUUCUCCCCGUGUCAAGCAACUCCGUCAAUUGCCUUCGAAGUUCUUCCAGCUCCGGCGGUGCCAUCCGAUAGGGUGCCAUGGAUGGUGGUUUGGCACCUGAUUCCAACUCGAUCUUAUGAUCCACCUCCCUCCUAGGUGGUAAUUUCUUGGGUAACUCUGGCGGCAUCACGUCCUUAUUUUCUUCAAGGACAUUCUUGAUGACUUCGGGCACAUUAUCGUCACCCGCAACUUCCUCAACUUGGUCCUCCAUUUUUAAUGCUGCCAAGUACGUCGCCUCUCCUUUCUUUAGCCCUUUUGCUAGUUGCAUGGCCGAAAGCUGCCCUAUUGCUUUCGUCCUAGCUACCGUAGGAACCAUGCAUGGAGAACCCCUCUCCAAGAUGCAGACCGAGCCAAAGGAAGGCAUAGGAAUAGCAUUGACCUUCCUCAUAAAGUCCAACCCGAGAACCAAGCGAAAAUCAUCCAUUGGAGCCACCGAAAAAUCCACUUGGCCAUGCCAAGUGCCUAAUUGAAUUUCCACCCCUCGAACUAUGCCACCAAGGGGCGUGGAUGGAGAAUUUACGGCUUUCAUAAGACCACCACUUUUAGUGAUUGUGAGGCCCAACCUUCUAGCCUCAUCUUCAGUAAUGAAGUUGUUGGUAGCUCCCGUAUCUACCAUUGCUAGUGCGGGCCGACUAUUUACUUGAGCUUCCACAUACAUCAAUCCUCGUUCAUUAUUGGAAGCCGGAACGACCUUAGCAUUGAGAGCGCUAAGAAGUUGCAAUGAACUAAAAUGUUCCGCCCUUUGCUCUUGGCAAGAGGAUGAAACCCGUUCCUCCGCCAUAGCUGCCAACGUGCCAAUUUUAGGGCAAUCACGCAUUAAGUGUGGCCCCUUGCACACGAAGCAUCCACUUUGAGAACCCAUUGAGGCCUUCUUCUUUUCCUCAUAAUUUUUUUCGCGAGAGGGAAGGUUUGUGAGUGUUACCACCUUUGAAGAAUGAGGACUUGUGGUAAUCUUUCUUCUCUCCCCCGCCUUUAGCCGAGUUACUCUUAAAGCUUUUAGAAGAUUUCGAUGAAUCCGUGCUCCUUUGGAACUCGGUUAAAGAUUCGGCCACCACAAUAGCCUCGUCUACUGUCUUCACUCCCCGACGUUGAAGUUCUUGCUUCGCCCAAUUUUGCAAUCCGUCGGUAAAGUGAAACAAUAGAUCUUCAUCUGACAUGCUCGGGAUUUGAAGCACAAGGGUAGUAAACUCUUUGACAUAAUCGCGAAUAGUGCCCUUAUGUUUCAACUCCCUAAGCUUUUUACGGGCCUCAUAUACUACAUUUUCAGGAUAAAAUUGGCGUUUCAAUUCUUUCUUGAAAUCGUCCCAACUAUCUAUCCUACAAGCACCCUUUUCUAUGUCGGCGUGCUUACGUCGCCACCAUAGAGCCGCGGUGUCCGUAAGAUACAUAGUCGAAGUACGUACCUUAAUAGCUUCAUCCAAAAUGUUCACGCCCUCAAAGUAUAUUUCCAAUCGCCAUAGGAAAUCAUCCAGCUCUUUUGCAUCUCGCCUUCCAUCGAACUCCCUAGGCUUUGGAUAGUCGAUCCUUGGAGCCGCUAGCAUCGCGCUAGUACCCGCACUAGUUGACGCCUUCUUACAAGCGUCUAGGCCACUUUGCAUAUCCGCGCAAAGCUUGUUCACUUGGUCUUGGAUUGCUUUGACAGCAUCCAUGACCUUAGCCUCCAGCCUCGUAUAUUCUUCCCUUAAAGCGCCUUGGUCUUCCUUGAGAUCAUCAAGUUGUUCCAAGGUGUGAGCUUCAAGGGUUGAGAGUGAAUUCUCCACUACUUCAAUGCGUUCCCCCAUAUUAAGAAAUACCUCCUCAAGAGAUCCACCGGUAGGGGCUGGUGGUCGGCUCUUACUUCGAGUGUGUCGAGUUUUCUUACUCGUGGUUUGGGGUUCGACCUCUCGACCCCGCUCGUCAUGUUCUACUUCCGAAAUGCCGGAUCCCACAACAUCUUUUUCCGCCAUGCCAACGAUAGUAAGUGAGCAAACCUAGGCUCUGAUACCAACUGUCACGGAUUUGCUAAUUUCCUUCAAGAACCGUGCGGCCUUAGUGUCUUUUAACUUCCGCCCCCGCGGUUUUACACUAAGUCAGCCUCCCGAUUGACGUUGAUGUCUUAGAAAGGCACUAAGUAGAACACUUUAAGAAAGGGACAAAGAAGGAACACAAGAGCUUACAAAGAAUGCUUUGUAUUGAAAUAAGGAAUGCUCUUUACAACUUCACUCUCUUGAUCCUUCAAAUGAAUCCUACCAAGCUAUUUAUAGUGGUAGCCUCCUCAAAUGGAUGGCUAGGAUCUUUUCUAUCCAUCUUUGCCAUCUUCCAGUAUCACUAACAAUACAUCAUUUGCAUCUUCAUCGGCCAAUUCCCAAGUGCCCAGUACAAAAAUUAAUUUUAGUUUCAGUUCUGCCGCUUCCUCAUCUGAAAGCAAUGCAGCUGGCCUUGGCAGCGGGCCAACAGCCAGUGUUUUCAAUUUCGGUGUGAGUUCUGCUGCUGCUUCAGAUGUUGGCGCCAUUAGCUCCAACAGCGGUUCCACUCUCGGACUAUAUAGUUUUGGUCUCAGUUCUUCCUCUUCCUCAGCCAAUGUAGUUGGCUCUACCAGUGGUGCCACUCCUAGUAUAUUCAGCUUUGGUAGCAGUUCUGCAGCUUCAACAUCGGGAAUCAAUGCUGCUAGCUCCUUCAGCAGUGGUACUUCUGGUAUAUUCAGUUUUGGUGCAAGUUCAUCGGCUUCCUCUUCAGCUACCAAGUCGGUUAGCUCUAGCAAUCCUACUACUAACUUAUUUGGUUCGAGUUGGCAAAUUCCCAAGUCUCCUAUUCUUGGUUCAACUUUGACUUCUCCGUCUCCAUCCACUGGAUUUGCCUUCAGUGCGUCAUUGUCUUCCUUUGCAGCUACAAGCACUGCACCAGUGGUAUUUAAUUCGUCUACUGGGGCCUCACCAGUCCCCAUUUUCUCAUUUAGUACAGCCUCUGCUGCAACCUUAUCUUCGCCAUCUCUUUCUCAUACGCAGCCAGUAUUUGGUAAUCCUCCUGCUUUUGCUGCCUCGGCUGGUAAUGAUCAGAUGAAUGCAGAAGACAGUAUGGCCGAGGAUACCAUGCAGUCAUCUGCACCUUCUGUUCCUUUAUUUGGUCAACCAACCAUCUCACCUUCUCCCCCUGGCUUCAUGUUUGGGUCUACAGUGCCAUCGCAACCUAAUCCCUUUCAAUUUGCUGGCCAGCAAAAUCAAGUUGCUCCACAGAACCAUUCUCCAUUUCAGGCAUCAGCCAGUUUAGAAUUCAAUGCGAGCGGGAGCUUCUCAUUGGGCAGUGGUGGUGGUGGUGGUGACAAGUCAGGUCGAAAAUAUGUGAAAGCUAACAGAAGUAAGAACCGGAAGAAGUGAAGGCGGUGAAUGAUGUAGCUGGUGUAUCCCUCAUUGAUGCCAUUAAUCAUGGAUUUGCCCCAUUUGGUUGAGAUAUUAUGCGAUAACUGAUCUUUCGAGUCUCAUCUUUGCAACCAUGG
Molecule: long non-coding RNA, 27491 nt
Filed under: Olea europaea (common olive)
Lineage: Eukaryota; Viridiplantae; Streptophyta; Magnoliopsida; Lamiales; Oleaceae
Description: long non-coding RNA (OEUR_LNC010964)
Source: RNAcentral